UCGUCAUCGUAGGGUUAGUCGGGACCUAAGUCGAGUCCGAAAGGGGUAGACGAUGGCAAAUCGGUUAAUAUUCCGAUACCGACGGUUGUUUGUUUGAAUGAUGGGGGGACGCAUAGAGUUAAUCGAGCUCACUGAUGGAAUAGUGGGUCGAAGGACGUAGGUUGAUACUUAGGCAAAUCCGGGUAUCGUUAGACCGAGAUCUUACAGGCUCUUGACACUCUUCGGAGGAGAUAGAGAAUCGAUGAUACUGUCGUGCCAAGAAAAGCCACUAAGUUUAUUAUAUGUUGCCCGUACCGUAAACCGACACAGGUAGGUGGGAUGAGUAUUCUAAGGCGCGUGGAAGAACCCUGGUUAAGGAACUCUGCAAACUAGCACCGUAUCUUCGGUAUAAGGUGUGCCUACUUCGGUAGGUCGCAGCAAAGAGUCCCUCCCGACUGUUUAC
RNAcentral lists this ribosomal RNA (442 nucleotides) under uncultured bacterium. RNAcentral's name for it is "bacterial LSU rRNA". It matches the Rfam family "Bacterial large subunit ribosomal RNA", at positions 1366 to 1807 of the family's 2925-position model. The record is from RNAcentral.